Molecule: ribosomal RNA, 397 nt
Filed under: uncultured bacterium
Lineage: Bacteria
Description: bacterial SSU rRNA
Rfam family: Bacterial small subunit ribosomal RNA
Source: RNAcentral
GACGAACGCUGGCGGCGUGCUUAACACAUGCAAGUCGAGCGGUGAACCACUUCGGUGGGGAUCAGCGGCGAACGGGUGAGUAACACGUGGGCAACCUGCCCCUAGCACUGGGAUAACCCCGGGAAACCGGGGCUAAUACCGGAUAUGACUUCGAAUGGCAUCACUCGAAGUGGAAAGAUCUAUCGGCUAGGGAUGGGCCCGCGGCCUAUCAGCUUGUUGGUGGGGUAAUGGCCUACCAAGGCGACGACGGGUAGCCGGCCUGAGAGGGCGACCGGCCACACUGGGACUGAGACACGGCCCAGACUCCUACGGGAGGCAGCAGUGGGGAAUAUUGCGCAAUGGGCGAAAGCCUGACGCAGCGACGCCGCGUGAGGGACGAAGGCCUUCGGUCGUAACC